AGAGGGUGCGAGCGUUAAUCGGAAUUACUGGGCGUAAAGCGUGCGUAGACGGUUAUUUAAGUCGGAUGUGAAAGCCCCGGGCUCAACCUGGGAAUUGCAUUCGAGACUGAAUAGCUAGGGUGCGGUAGAGGGAAGCGGAAUUUCCGGUGUAGCGGUGAAAUGCGUAGAUAUCGGAAGGAACAUCAGUGGCGAAAGCGGCUUCCUGGACCAGCACCGACGUUCAGGCACGAAAGCGUGGGGAGCAAACAGGAUUAGAUACCCUGGUAGUCCACGCCAUAAACGAUGAGGACUAGACGUUGGAGGGGUAAGCCUUUCAGUGUCGUAGCUAACGCGCUAAGUCCUAAUCC
RNAcentral lists this ribosomal RNA (347 nucleotides) under uncultured bacterium. Its description in RNAcentral is "bacterial SSU rRNA". It matches the Rfam family "Bacterial small subunit ribosomal RNA", at positions 527 to 873 of the family's 1533-position model. The record is from RNAcentral.